RNAcentral lists this ribosomal RNA (325 nucleotides) under uncultured eukaryote. RNAcentral describes it as "partial 18S ribosomal RNA". It matches the Rfam family "Eukaryotic small subunit ribosomal RNA", at positions 1470 to 1796 of the family's 1831-position model. The record is from RNAcentral.
CCCUUAGAUGUUCUGGGCCGCACGCGCGCUACUCUGAUGCAUUCAACGAGCCUAUCCUUGACCGACAGGUCCGGGUAAUCUUUGAAUCUGCAUCGUGACGGGGAUAGAUUAUUGCAAUUAUUAAUCUUCAACGAGGAAUGCCUAGUAGGCGCAAGUCAUCAGCUUGCGUCGAUUACAUCCCUGCCCUUUGUACACACCGCCCGUCGCUCCUACCGAUUGGGUGUGCUGGUGAAAUGUUCGGAUCGGCCGUUUGUCGCGGUUUCCGCGUCAUGUGGCUGAGAAGUUCAUUAAACCCUCCCACCUAGAGGAAGGAGAAGUCGUAACA